AGAAGAAGAAAGUGCCAGAGCUAAGAGCUAAUAUAUUCCCAGUCUAUGCAUGGAUAAAGGAAUGAUAAGAGCUAUGAGCAUUUUAUUGAACUAUACUACAACUAAUAUAUAUAAGGACAAAUCAACUAGAAAAAACUGUUGCCAAAGAAACCAUUUGAUUAAGCUUAUUCGUUCGCGCUACAUAGAAGAACUAGAGGCCGCCAAGGUGUUCAACCAUUAGACAAGCAGGUAGGAUCCUUUGCUUACUACUUGAAGCAGAAACCUAGAAGAGAUACUUUCUAUUCCGAAAUCCAUAUUAUUUCUGGUCCGCUUCAUUCAUUCCCUUACUAAUAAAUCCAAUUCAUCGCUAAUGGCGAAACCAGCCUGUAUGUACACCGCACAACUAACCGUUGCUUGGUAGGUUCGAUCAGCUCUUCUCACCUUUCCAUUGACAUCUACUAAGUCUUCACCUUAAGUGGGUUCAGCCGCCCCAAAUCUGACUCGAUCCAGGGUUAUAUAUCAUAAAGGGCUUCGACAAGGGGUUUGAUUCGUUCUUUGAGCAAAUAGAUAAGGUCGGAAUACCGGAGUUCUUUCUUUUCUUC
RNAcentral lists this long non-coding RNA (581 nucleotides) under Hordeum vulgare. Its description in RNAcentral is "long non-coding RNA (HVUL_LNC015445)". The record is from RNAcentral. Lineage: Eukaryota; Viridiplantae; Streptophyta; Magnoliopsida; Poales; Poaceae.